AAAGUUUAAGUGUAUGUUUUUUCGGCACAUAUAAACAAGUUUACAAAUAUGAAUACAUUUAUUUUAGAAGUAGGAAGCACACGGUUCUCGUUGCUCUUAUAUUGGCAAUUCAACACAAAUAAAGAACGUUUAUGAAGUGAAUAAUACUACCUCUACUCGUCUGGAGUGAAAUAAUAUUGUCGAUACAUCGGGUGUUGUACUAUAGCUGGACGUUUUGGAAGCAUGGAAGAAUUGAUUGUUGGAGGGGUGAUAGGAGGGAUAAUAUGUAUAUUCAUAGUAUUAUUCAUGAUUAUUUGUUUCUGUUUGCAAUCUGAGGAACGCCGUAACAGAAUCAGACAGAUAAAUAUACAACCAGCAAACGAUAUCUUUAUCAGAAUACACCAAACAAGGUAUCCCCCACGAGGACCACCACCGGCGUACCCGGUAAGAUAACACAAAUUAAAGGCAAUAACAAUAGUAUAUUCCACGAGGACAACCACUGGCUUACACAGGAAGAUAACAUAAUUUAAGCCAAUAAUGAAAGUAUUGUCCACGAGAACCACCACCGGCGUACUCGGGGAAUAACAUAAAUUAAAGGCAAUACCAGUGGUUUACUCCAGGACCACCACCAGCGUACCCAGGAAGAUGACAUAAAUAAAAGAUAAUAACAAUUGUAUACUUCACGAGGACAACAACCGCCGUAAAAGAAGAGAUAACAUAAAUCAAAGACAAUAACAACGGUGUACUCAAGGACCACCACCGUCGUAACCGUGAGAUAACAUAAGUUAAAGGCAAUAGCAAUAGUACACUCCACGACAACCACAGGCGUACCUGGGGCGAACACAAAUUAAGGGCAAUAACAAUGGUAUACUCCAGGACAAUCGCCGGCUUACCCAGGGAGAUAACAUAAACAAAAGACAAUAACAAUGAUAUACUCCACGACGACAACCACUGGCGUAACUGGGGAGAUAACAUACAUUUAAGACAAUAGCAAUAAUGUACUCCAGGACAACCACCGGCGUAUCCAGGGAGAUCAGAUAAAUAAAAGGCAAUUACAAUGGUAUACGCUACGAGGGCAACGACCGGCGUACCCAGGGAGAUAACAUGCAUAAAAGACAAUAACAAUGGUAUACUCCACGAGGACCACCACCGACGUAACUGGGGAGAUAACAUAAAUCAGAGACAACAACAAUGGUAUACUCCACGAGGACCAAAACAGGCGUAUCCAGGGGGAUAACUUAGUUAAAAGACAAUUACAAUGGUAUACUCCACGAGGACAUCUACCGGCGUAAACGGGGAGAUAACAUAAAUCAAAGACAAUAACAAUGGUGUACUCCUCGAGGUCAUCCACCGGCGUAACAGGGGAUAAAAAAUAAAUUAAAGGCAAAAAAAUUGGUAUAUUCCACGAACACAACCACUGGUGAUACCGCGGAGAUAGUAUAAAUUAAAGGCAAAAUCAAUGAACAAGCUUUACUAAAAUUGUCUGUUCAUAAAUUUUGAAAUUAUGAUGAAACUAAGGUUUCAACUCUCUCAGGCAAAUUUGGCCUCAGACGAAUUUGGCUAUUUAUUUUUGGUAUUUUUGACAUAUAGCUCUUCAACGGUUUUCGGUACUUAUACAUCUUCGGAUUUCAAAUGUUUGGCUUUGAGCGUUCCUGAUGAGGGUAAAUCCAAUAAAUUAUAAACGUGUUGUUUUCCAUUUAUACAAAAUAUGCAAAGUAUAAAUUAAAGGCAAUAACAAUGAUACAAAAUAUGCAAAGAGACCAAACCAGUUCCAACAAAGUGGACUGCAUGAUAGUACUUCCAAGAGCAGGUCAUGAACAAACCGUUUUGACGUGUCUGUUGGAAAUUCUGUUUAAAGAUUUGAAUAAAUUCGACUUUGUCAAAAUUGAUCAGUCAGAAUCAAGAAUUAACUCUCAUCCCAGUGUUAUCGGCUAAGCCGGCGAUACAAAUCGAAUAUUCAGAUAAAAAUACACAAAUUUACUCUUACCAAUUUCGGACCACGUUCAUGAACCACUGGAAUAAGAGCAAGCAAGCAACAAUAAAUCUUCAGAAGAGAUCAUGGGAAAUUGAAGAGUAGCUAGAUGACAUCUGACAAGGACGCAAAUUAUCGACGAAUGAUUACAGCAGGUUUCACUGGCAUAUUUGUUUUAAAAUAAAGUAAAACGAAAAUUGUAAAAGUAACUUUAAUUCAAUGCAUAAUAAAAAAUAUAUAAAACAACAAUAACUGUUUUCAAAUAGUCCUGACUCAUUCAACUUUUUUACAACUUCACAACAGUACAACCCAUUUUGUCUGUUAUAAAAAAUCUGACUAUGAUUUUUCAAAUGACUGUAAUGUUUGUCAUUUCUGUAACGGUAUGGUAUCUCCGAGCUUAAUUUGAUUGUAGACCACUGUUUUGAUAUGCUACUUCUUAUGAAUAAUGUAUUUGUCACAUCAUAUGAAUAAAUGAAUUGAAAAUG
Mytilus trossulus (common blue mussel) is the source of this 2436-nucleotide long non-coding RNA. RefSeq lists it as uncharacterized. Lineage: Eukaryota; Metazoa; Mollusca; Bivalvia; Mytilida; Mytilidae. The transcript is spliced from 3 exons. The record is from RefSeq and is a predicted model, not a curated record.